This 484-nucleotide ribosomal RNA is filed under the name Barnettozyma californica. RNAcentral describes it as "partial large subunit ribosomal RNA". It matches the Rfam family "Eukaryotic large subunit ribosomal RNA", at positions 107 to 588 of the family's 3401-position model. Lineage: Eukaryota; Fungi; Ascomycota; Saccharomycetes; Phaffomycetales; Phaffomycetaceae. The record is from RNAcentral.
GCUCAAAUUUGAAAUCUGGCUGCUUUUUUAGUAGUCCGAGUUGUAAUUUGAAGAAUAGAUCCUUGGAGAGGCGCCUUGUCUAUGUUCCUUGGAACAGGACGUCGCAGAGGGUGAGAAUCCCGUUUGGCGAGGUGUGCUGAUCCGUGUAAGGGCUGUUCGACGAGUCGAGUUGUUUGGGAAUGCAGCUCUAAGUGGGUGGUAAAUUCCAUCUAAAGCUAAAUAUUGGCGAGAGACCGAUAGCGAACAAGUACAGUGAUGGAAAGAUGAAAAGAACUUUGAAAAGAGAGUGAAAAAGUACGUGAAAUUGUUGAAAGGGAAGGUUAUUAGAUCAGACUUGGAUUUUUUAUUAUAUUUGUCUCCUUGUGGGGCAUUCACUAAUUUUUAAUCCAGGCCAGCAUCGAUUGGGAUGGCGGGAAAAAGAGGGAGGAACGUGGCUGUGCAUUUAUGUGCAGUGUUUAUAGCCUUUCUUAAUACCGCCUGUCUC